Molecule: long non-coding RNA, 227 nt
Filed under: Mytilus galloprovincialis (Mediterranean mussel)
Lineage: Eukaryota; Metazoa; Mollusca; Bivalvia; Mytilida; Mytilidae
Source: RNAcentral
AAAAACAUUACCCCCUCCCUUUGCCAAAUACUUCUUGGAGAAGAAAUACCAUUUGAACAAACAGAAAAGAUAGAAAUAUAGUGAUCCCUAAUAUAUCAAUCCUUCUUCUUCGUCUGUAAGCACGCUGUUGCAGCCUACGUUUCCUAAUACUUAAUCGAGACAUCUUUAGUAUCUUUAAACUACUGCAAAUCAUCAAAAUGGCUUUCAUAAAGAAGCAACCACUUAAC